UCAUCCAGAGACUUUGAGGUCACUGUCACAGAUGCGGUCGUCUCAACAGCACAGUUUCACCUCCAUUUCCAGAAGCUUCACACCUUCACCAGCUUCCACUGGAACCACAGAGCAGUCUGGACAGAGUCAGUCUGAGAGAACAUCUACAGGUGGUGUCAGCGGGACACAAACGUCUUCUCAAACUGCUGCAGAUGUUCUCCUGUAUGUGGGCCUGACUCUGGCUGUCACCAUCAUCAUCAUUUCAGUGGCUGUGCUGAUUUCCUGCAAGAAAAGAUCUUCUAAAGUAAAGGACCCUUUUGUUGAAAUAUUACAUACUACGAUCACAGAUGUAAGUGUGAAGCUCUUCUACUCACAUCAUUACAUAAACCUCCACCACCCUCUGCACCCAGAACCUAUGCUGUCAGGGGUCAUGUGCCUGCCUGAUCUGAACUUGAUUGGGCCUCUGUGUUAAUCACAGCUUGUCCAUAACAAACACCAUGUUUGAGCAUAAGGGUGUUCGUGAGUGGACAUUUGGCCAGGACAUGCCAACUCAGGUGAAUGUUGUAGUUGUUUCAGAUCUGUGGCAUCUGACAGAGACUAAUCAGUCACAUCGUCUUUUUCUCCAGAAGAACGUUAAGAGCUUUCUGAGGGACGUUAGAGACACUGAGCUGACAGGUACCGGCAGGCCAAGCAAAGUGCAGCUCCUGCUGUAACCACAGCAACAGCUCAGGUGUGGGAAGAGUUCCACUCACACUGUGUACAAUGAAGAUGCUGACUUCAGCUGAGGCCUCAGUCAGGUGAUGGUAGGAUCAUGGUGGGUCUGUCACCAAAUCUAUUGUUAAUUUUCACCGGAUGGAUGGAAACAAAAAUCUAAUUAGAUGAUUUUUAAAUGAUUCUAACUCUCACUCCACUUUGCAAAGUCCAGCUCUCUACAUCGGAUUGGCUGUAGUUGUGACAGUGAACAUUAAACAGUAAUCUGAGUGUCAGAGCCGAUCAGAGUCAGAGCACUAGUGCAUCUUUAAUGAAUACGCUGCCUGUGAGUGAAGCUACGACACAGAAAGCUGAACACAGACACAAAGAACCAUAAAUGACAACGAAACACAGCAAAGUGGCUCCAUUGGUUUUAUUACAGACACUUUCCUUCCUGUAAGACCUUUGUGACUGAGGCCUUACUCGCCUGCGUGGACUCUUUACUCGUCUAUUCUUUGACCCGGUUUGUGUUGAUGAGCAGAAAUAUUACUGAAAAUGUGACAGCUGAUGAUCAGUUGUGCCUGUUUUCUUUUUCAGGAUGAAGACAACUCCAGGACUGUGAUGAAUGUUUCCGACAAGGCCUUCGGCUUUCUAAACAGCGCCCCCUAUAGUCACACCAAUGAAGUCAUCUACUCUGUACCUCGGGUACAUGAAGCCCACUAUGAGAAUUGGACUCCAACUUGUGCAAUGUAAAGGCUCAACCUACCAGAACAUGGAUCCAAUCAGCAGAGACUUGGACCAAACCUGCUCUGCACUCAUAUCACAGGAGACUCUCUGGAUUUGAUCAUUUUCCAGCCUCAGACUGAAGUUUGUUCACAGAUGCUGAAAACUGAGAAUCGAUAAACUACAUAAUCCUUUCAAAAUUACGAACACUGAAUUGCGUAAUUUCUAUCAUAAUGAAUUUGCUUCUUUAUGUAAAUUUAAUAAUGAUCAAAACCAAUCACAGCACAGAAACAGCUCUUACUAAAGACAUCAGUGACCUGAAGGUCCACAGUGACCCACAGAGAGUCUCAGUUUUAGAGCUUCUCACUGCUGCCUUCAACAUUGUUGAUGAAACGCUAAUUCAAAGACUGUGAUUCGGACGGUUUAACAUGUCAGGUCCUCGACUGACUCUCAUCAUAUCAAAAGUUUAGAAGUUUUUAUGUUUGAUCCGGUAAAUUCCAUCAGGAGUUGGAUCUGCC
Oreochromis aureus is the source of this 1910-nucleotide long non-coding RNA. The record is from Ensembl. NCBI's taxonomy places the organism in Eukaryota, Metazoa, Chordata, Actinopteri, Cichliformes, Cichlidae.